Molecule: non-coding RNA, 29 nt
Filed under: Mus musculus (house mouse)
Lineage: Eukaryota; Metazoa; Chordata; Mammalia; Rodentia; Muridae
Source: RNAcentral
UUAGCUCGCAUUUUAUCUGGCUGGUACCU